CUUAAGGAACAAGGCCAUUUUCAUUGUGUGGAGAACAGUGGUGUUUGAAAUAGCAGGAACAGGCAGAAAGGAGGUUUGGUCACCUUAUUUUAAACAGCUAAAGCCACCCAAAUCUCUAUUUCUGUUCUCUCAUACCUGGAGUCCCAGCUACUUGGGAGGCUGAUGUGGGAGGAUCACUUGAGCGCAGGAGUUUGAGGCUGCAGUGAGCCAUGAUUGUGCCACUGCACUCCAGCCUGGGUGGCAGAGAGAGAUCCUUCAUCGUGGGCCAGGAUGAUGGCCUGUGCUAGCCGUCCUUGAAAAGGCGAGGCCGGGCUGAGGGUGCACUGGGUUUAGACAUAGCAAGUGUCUCCUGUCACUUGUGCCUAGUUCCUGGGGCCAUGGUCCUUGGAGCUGCUGCAUCAGAUUCUCCCAACCACUGUCCUCCUUGCCCUCAGCUUCCGUGACAACAGGCACUCCUGGUUUUCUUCCUACCUCUCUGGCUGCUCCUUCCAGUCUUUUUGCAGGUUCCCACUCACUUACACAUGCCUUAAAAGUCGGUGGGCUUAGGGGUAACCAAUUUAGGCAUCCCUCUCUUGUAGGCAUCCCUCUCUUGUAGGCAUCCCACUCUUCCUUGGGAUGACUUAGUGAUUACAUCCUCUCCAAGACUUCAGGUCCCAGUGUCCUGCGAUUGUAUGAGAUUUUAAUUUUGUUCGUUUUGCUAAUUCAUAUCUUCUGUAUUUGCUCUCAAAUUGUGUGAUUUUUUAAAUAAAUCAUUUUUAAAUAAAAUGUUUAUUGAUUGAUUGGGUAUUUUUAUCCCAACAUGGCUGGGAUCCUUAAGCCUCUUGGAGCUCCUUGGAGGGGCCCGAGAAGCUAGGACAAAAAUGCCUCUCACCUAUAUCCAGUUCGAAUACAUAGCCAUGUCAGUGGGAAGGAAAAACAGUUGCUCCUUUGGUAGAAAUGGCUACUGGAGGAAAUUUGAUUCAUUGAAGAACUUGGCUUGGGAAUUUGCAGACUGGUAGCACUCAUCAAGGCCUUGGAGAUCUUCGGAUUCUACCCCCUCAUCUUGGAAUCAGGAAACUGCAGGGGAUUGCCCAGGGGCACAGAUGUCCCAGGCUCCUGGGUGGGUUGGAACCAUCAAGCUCCCUGAAGAAAGGCUCCCAAGACAGGGAACAUAAUUAUUCCCCCAGGACAGAGUUGGACUUCAAGUGCAGCUUUCCACCAU
Molecule: long non-coding RNA, 1201 nt
Filed under: Homo sapiens (human)
Lineage: Eukaryota; Metazoa; Chordata; Mammalia; Primates; Hominidae
Description: long non-coding RNA PTCSC2-a
Source: RNAcentral